This 28-nucleotide small RNA is filed under the name Bombyx mori (domestic silkworm). RNAcentral describes it as "ovarian small RNA-22314". The record is from RNAcentral. Lineage: Eukaryota; Metazoa; Arthropoda; Insecta; Lepidoptera; Bombycidae.
UAGCAUUGAUAAAGUAGGGUCUGCAAUU